GUAAAAUUGCCCAAAACCAGGCUAAAUACAGUGGUUCUGUAUAGUGAUUGAUACUUCUGUAAUUGUAUGGUAAAGCACUUUAACUCCCAGGACAGAGGAGGGUGAUGGAGUGAUAAUUAAUGUAUUUCACUCUGAAGUAUAGGAUUUUGAGAACAAACAGAAUAUAAUUGCUGAGAUCCUGGGUUUGGUUAAAAGUUCUCCUUGUUCAGCAUCCUGCUUGUGACAGCAACCUGUGAAGCAAAAUCUACACACUUAAGGGAAAAAUUGUCUAUGGAAACUAGUUUUCUCUGCAGUUUACAGUCUGGAAAAGCCUGAUCCUGACUGCUGAAGUGACCCUGAAUAGAGAACAGGAUAUUGGACAGUGCUUCCUGGGUCAGACUGUUUGGAGAGGUUGUCUGUGAUGAGUGAUUUCCAGAAACACUGACGUGAUGGAGUCGUGGAACAAUCCAUGAAGGUUAACUGUCCAGAGGUUUUCAGAAAAGCUCUUAAUAUACUACUUCAUGUUAGAAGUUGUCAGCAUCAUUGGCAAGCACUAGAGAUGAACAUGAAGGAGUUGUACUUUUCUGGAUGAGAUUAAUUCUGGCACAGUACUCGUUCCCAUGGCUAAGCCCUGUGUGCACUGCUGUUCUUGUCAGGUUUUGGAAUUAUGGAGCUGGAUGGAAUCAGUGGAACCCCCUGAAAUGAAUAACAGGUGAGAAGCGAGCGCAGCAUGGGACACUACACAGAGGAUGGAAGUCAAAGACUGCUUUAAA
Hirundo rustica (Barn swallow) is the source of this 752-nucleotide long non-coding RNA. RefSeq lists it as uncharacterized. The record is from RefSeq and is a predicted model, not a curated record. Lineage: Eukaryota; Metazoa; Chordata; Aves; Passeriformes; Hirundinidae. The transcript has 5 exons.